This 575-nucleotide ribosomal RNA is filed under the name uncultured bacterium. RNAcentral describes it as "partial 16S ribosomal RNA". It matches the Rfam family "Bacterial small subunit ribosomal RNA", at positions 355 to 920 of the family's 1533-position model. The record is from RNAcentral.
UGGGGAAUAUUGCACAAUGGGCGCAAGCCUGAUGCAGCCAUGCCGCGUGUGUGAAGAAGGCCUUCGGGUUGUAAAGCACUUUCAGCGAGGAGGAAGGUGGUGAGCUUAAUACGCUCAUCAAUUGACGUUACUCGCAGAAGAAGCACCGGCUAACUCCGUGCCAGCAGCCGCGGUAAUACGGAGGGUGCAAGCGUUAAUCGGAAUUACUGGGCGUAAAGCGCACGCAGGCGGUUUGUUAAGUCAGAUGUGAAAUCCCCGGGCUCAACCUGGGAACUGCAUUUGAAACUGGCAAGCUAGAGUCUCGUAGAGGGGGGUAGAAUUCCAGGUGUAGCGGUGAAAUGCGUAGAGAUCUGGAGGAGUACCGGUGGCGAAGGCGGCCCCCUGGACGAAGACUGACGCUCAGGUGCGAAAGCGUGGGGCAGCAAACAGGAUUAGAUACCCUGGUAGUCCACGCUGUAAACGAUGUCGAUUUUGGAGGUUGUGCCCUUGAGGCGUGGCUUCCGGAGCUAACGCGUUAAAUCGACCGCCUGGGGAGUACGGCCGCAAGGUUAAAACUUAAAGGAAUUGACGGGGUC